UGUCACAACCAGGACUUGAGGACCACAAAAGAUGACAGACCCAAGGAGUACGAGAUCUUUAGUUUAUUUAAAGGGGGCCAGAGCAGGCAGGAUGUUAUGCAGAAUCUUGACACCAGGGGGCGUGGAGACAGACUGGUGGGAGGCCAGGAGUGAGGGGAGAGAAACAGACAGAGCAGAGUCCAGUGUUCAUGGAAGGGAGGGGGACGCCAAUUCCUGAAUGAGGAAGUCCGUGACAGAGAGGAGCAGAGGAGAUGUCUUACGGCUGAGUUUUGAGGCAGAGCUUGGCGAUGACGAACAGGUGGUCCCAGCAACAGGAAAAACCACCACGGAUACUCACCCGGUCGCCCUCCAUCUUCUCAGUUGGCUCGCUCUCGGAUUCUCACUGCCAUCGCUCUCCAGCCAGCCCCACCAUGCCACCCCCAGAAAUCACCAUUCACUUACUUAUAGUGAAUUAAAUCAUUCUAACUUA
Non-coding RNA from Oryzias latipes (Japanese medaka), 469 nucleotides. Lineage: Eukaryota; Metazoa; Chordata; Actinopteri; Beloniformes; Adrianichthyidae. The record is from RefSeq and is a predicted model, not a curated record.